GAUGAACGCUGGCGGCGUGCCUAAUACAUGCAAGUCGAGCGAACAGACGAGGAGCUUGCUCCUCUGACGUUAGCGGUGGACGGGUGAGUAACACGUGGAUAACCUACCUAUAAGACUGGGAUAACUUCAGGAAACCGGAGCUAAUACCGGAUAACAUGUUGAACCGCAUGGUUCAACAGUGAAAGACGGUCUUGCUGUCACUUAUAGAUGGAUCCGCGCCGCAUUAGCUAGUUGGUAAGGUAACGGCUUACCAAGGCAACGAUGCGUAGCCGACCUGAGAGGGUGAUCGGCCACACUGGAACUGAGACACGGUCCAGACUCCUACGGGAGGCAGCAGUAGGGAAUCUUCCGCAAUGGGCGAAAGCCUGACGGAGCAACGCCGCGUGAGUGAAGAAGGUCUUCGGAUCGUAAAACUCUGUUAUUAGGGAAGAACAAAUGUGUAAGUAACUAUGCACGUCUUGACGGUACCUAAUCAGAAAGCCACGGCUAACUACGUG
RNAcentral lists this ribosomal RNA (497 nucleotides) under uncultured bacterium. RNAcentral describes it as "partial 16S ribosomal RNA". It matches the Rfam family "Bacterial small subunit ribosomal RNA", at positions 28 to 507 of the family's 1533-position model. The record is from RNAcentral.